CACGUGGGAGCGGGCCACUGGGAUUGUUCCUGGUUGCCUCUGAGCUCUGGCAGAACCCAGUCACCACAGGGCAGUGUUCAGAGGCCCACAACUUGGUCUGCCAUCAGCAACAUGUCAUACGGGGCUAUCGAUGGCAGUGGCUUUGGUGCCCGGAAUCCAUUCGGGGGACCUUCCAGGCAAGGAUACCAGCCUGUAGCAUCACAGAUUGAUCCGAACGAAAUCCAAGAAGUCUUUCAGGAGCUCACAGCAAACAUCUUCCGCAUCAACACAAAUGUGACUUCCCUGGAAAAGAGUCUGCCAGCCUUGGGGACACCCAGUGACACUCAGCAGUUGAGAGAUGGACUGCACUCUACACAGCAAGAGACCAAUAAAACAAUCAGCUCCUCCACAAAGUACAUCAAACAGCUCUUGGAAAUCGUACGUGGUUCGUCCAGGAGAGAAUGGCUACAAUUAGAUAGACUGAAGAACCAGCUCUCAGACUCUGUCCAACGCUAUGGACAAGUGCAAAAGAAAGUUGCUGAGAAGUCCAAAGCCUUCCUUCCCUCCGCACAGAAGGGCAGACAGAGUGCCAAGAACAAUUUUACAGAGAUCAGCGAUGAGGACGCCUUCCUCGGCAGAGGGUCCAGUAGCUGGCAGACCCCGGGUCAGCCACAGGAUCCGGCUCAGAGUCAGGACCAGGCGUUUCUUUCAGAGAUCACAGAAGAGGAACUGGAGAACGUAAAAGAAAGAGAGGAGGCGAUUCUACAGAUUGAGGCGGACAUGCUCGAUGUGAACCAGAUUAUCAAGGAUCUUGCAAUGCUGGUGCAUGAACAAGGAGAUAACAUUGAUAGCAUCGAAGCCAACAUCGAGAGGGCAGCUUCAAACGUGGACGCAGCCAACGAGCAGCUAGCGAAAGCCAGUCAGCACCAGAAACGAGCCCGGAAGAUGAAAUGCUGCUUUAUCCUAUCAGGCUUGGUUAUUCUGACUGUCACCAUCAUAAUUAUCGUGGUUUCUGUGAAACAAUGAGUCAGGAAUUGGCCUAGGGUGAGGAGGGAGUUGACCAUAGGCACGAUUAAAGGACUUCAAGACAUUUAGAGAGAAGGGAUGGGGGAAAAACAGAAGGGUAGAGGAAGGAGUUCCAGAGACAGCCCACGUUUAUUCAACAUUUUAAUGACUGAUAACAAGAGGAAGGGGCAGCCCCACAUGCGAAGGAAUCAUAACCAGCUUUGUCCAGUGCGGACGACUCCUUGUCUCUUGGUUGUGCCAGAGGCGCCACGACGCAGCGAGAAAGAACCAAAGUUGUGACGUUACACUAUUCCUGCCUCGAAAAAGGACGGAAACUGGGCCUGGCAGCAGCAGCAGCCACCUUCCCUCUUACCUCAAACACAUACAGAGCUGAUUUGUUCUGUCGUUCCUGCACAUAUCUAUAAACCUCAAUGAGUUUCUCAGUUUUCUCACCUCCCCUCAACAACAUUCAUUCUGGGGUC
This is an RNA transcript of Callorhinchus milii (elephant shark), 1466 nucleotides long. It is a transcript of the gene named T-SNARE Domain Containing 1, with no coding region annotated. The record is from RefSeq and is a predicted model, not a curated record. The transcript is spliced from 13 exons. NCBI's taxonomy places the organism in Eukaryota, Metazoa, Chordata, Chondrichthyes, Chimaeriformes, Callorhinchidae.